GAAUUUGCAGUGACCAGAAAAAAAUUGACAUGCAGUUUUUCACAUAUUAGAAGUAUUAGGUAACUAUUCAGGCACAAGUAUAGUGCCCCCUCAUAAUUUAACUACAAAAUACUAUAGCAUACAACAAGAACACAGAAACACGCAGAACGCGACACAAGAGUUGUAAGGGCCAUAAGUUGACUCUUUAACUAGUUGUAAAGCACCCAUAAUAGAGAAGCAAAAGCCUACUUUUGCCCAGCUGCUAGGUGUACAAAAUGGAAUUUGGAAUCAGCUGCCUCAAACUCUACGAAUAUGCUUUAGUCAUGUGUCCCCCCUUAACCGAGCAAUUAGUUCAUCCUUCCUUCCUCUCAGUGAAAGACCUUUCUCCUUUAACAAAGCCCGUAGCUUCUCAACAGUCAUAUUUUGUAUUUCAGGUGCACGAUUUUUUGAAGUUCCUUGGGCAGAGGCAGCAUGGUUACUGGUGGUAGCCUUCUUGGCUGAUGCCCUACUAUCCAAUGCUUUUUCAGCCGCUCUUUUUCUACCAUUGUCAUUUGAGGAAACCCCCUUGCCUUCUUUUGAACUACAUUCACCUCUUUGCUUCUUAAGCAUGAGAGACCUAAUCAAUAUGUUUUGCUGGUUGGUCUUAAUAAGCUGGUCCUCCGGAGGUGACGUUUCGUGAUCGCAAACAUAUACUCGCAUUCCACCCGGAGUAGAGGAGAGGACGUUGGAGGAGAAAAGGCCGCGAGAAGGGAGGCCGGCUAGGUAUUUGGCCGCACCGGAAGUUGUGGCAUUGUUCGGAGAAAUGGAUGAUGAGGUAUCCUCCAUAGUUGCCGCUCUGCAAAACUGAUUCAAGUUUAG
This 837-nucleotide unclassified non-coding RNA is filed under the name Hevea brasiliensis (rubber tree). The record is from RNAcentral. Lineage: Eukaryota; Viridiplantae; Streptophyta; Magnoliopsida; Malpighiales; Euphorbiaceae.